ACUCCACUGGCUCCCUGCUGCAGAACCUUCUCAGAUGCUACCGUGGGAACUGCCCAGGUGCAGGGGCUCUCUCCAGCCCACCCCUUAGAGUUGCCUUGGGCCGGGAGCUGGAGGCCCGACCUUGGCCGUGAUCUCUGUACAGCUGCCUUUACGGAGAAAUGCACUCAAAGUUGCAAAGUGUCAGUCAGUGAGCUGCUCGAACAUAACCUGUGAGAUAAAGUGGCUUCACUCCAGGCAGCUGGUCUGAGAAGGGGACCCAAGAAGAAACGACGUGGGCCACUUCUGGGCUUGGUCAAAUCUCCCACGGGCGCCUCCAUGCUCUGGUCCUCUUACGGCCGGCUGGACUGAUGACGACCCUGGGCAACCUUGGAAAUGACCAGUGACCUGGUGAAGACCUGCAGAGCCUCUGCCAGUUCAAGUCCACGAAUGACUGUGCCGAGUGGGUGGCCCCCCAAACCUCUACACCUGCCCAGAAGUAUUUCUUGAGCAAAAAAUAAACUAGUGUGAUUACCCA
This is a long non-coding RNA of Suricata suricatta (meerkat), 514 nucleotides long. RefSeq lists it as uncharacterized. The record is from RefSeq and is a predicted model, not a curated record. The transcript is spliced from 2 exons. NCBI's taxonomy places the organism in Eukaryota, Metazoa, Chordata, Mammalia, Carnivora, Herpestidae.